CACCUGCUCCAGCUUGAAGGCCAACCUCUGUUUCCUGGCUGCAUCGUCCUGCUCCAGUGCACACACAAUCUGCCAGCAGGACAGUGAGCUGCAGCCGCUCGAGGACAGGCCCGGUGUUUUGCUGGGUGACUCUGGGCAUGUGUGAGGGAGAGAUGUAUUUGCCAGGAAACAAGUCUUCAGAGCAAACUGAGCAAAGGAAAAGGCAGGUCUGCAGUUGAGAUCAAAAUGAAGGCCGGGUUUGAAGAUGCGUGUGGUCCGAUCCAUGAGUACUAGUGCUCAUGUCAACAUGAUGACGGGCGUUGCGGCUGGUGUGAUCCCAAUGCACAAGAUUUUUUUUUUCAAGCAUAUCUACUACGAAUUGGAAGUCACGUUUUUCACUUGUCUAUCUCUUAUGCACCUGACAGGAAAGAUACGCUUCCAUUUUUAUCAAUACAACAGUCUGUUGCGGUCAGGAGUAAACAGCUGAACUGUUACAUGCAACCCAAAGCGACUUUUUGGUCUUUCUUGUGAUGUAUGCGUGCACAUGUUUGUAGUAUAGACCAGAUGUCUAAAGCAAACUGUUAAUUGUGUGACCAAUUUGUGAACGCAUCUCUAUGGAAAGACUGCUUUUAGGGUUUUAAGAUAUAAGUUCUACUGAAAUAUGCUUUUAGGAAGUAAUAAUAAGAUAAUCGUUCAUCCAUACUACCUCCAAUAUUUUUCAUAUUCACCGAAUAUCAUAUUUACAAAAGCUACUGCCAAAUAACACUUUAACACAAGCAGCCUUUAGAAAAUCAUAGGUCUUAAAACAAUGUUUUGUUAGCUUUGCAAAUGUACUGAUCCAUAUGCGGACACUGUAAAUAAAUGUUUACCAGCC
Molecule: long non-coding RNA, 853 nt
Organism: Micropterus salmoides (largemouth bass)
Lineage: Eukaryota; Metazoa; Chordata; Actinopteri; Centrarchiformes; Centrarchidae
Exons: 3
Source: RefSeq, a predicted model, not a curated record